CUCCCCUCUCAGUGACAGCCGCCGCUGGGCACCUCAGCAGAGAGAUGAACCCCACCGUCAGCAUCGCUGUCAUCCUGACAGUCCUCCAGGCUGCCCACUGCCAGAUGAUCAAGGACCUGAGUGCCUGCUUGCUGGGCCAGAGCCUCCGGGUGGACUGCCGUUAUGAGAACAAAACCAGCAACCCCUUGACCUAUGAGUUCAGCAUCACCAAGGACAACAGGAAGCACGUCAUCCACAGCACCAUCAGUGUUUCCGAGAACAUCUACCGGAGCCGAGCCAAUGUCACCAUGCACAAGAACCUGGUGUGCCUCUACCUGCAGAGCUUCACCACUAGCGAUGAGGGUGUCUACAUGUGCGAGCUGAAGGCCACCAACGACUACACCGGCAACCAGAUAAAGAACAUCACUGUCAUCAAAGACAAACUGGAGAAAUGCGCCGGCUUCAGCCUCUUGAUCCAGAACACUUCGUGGCUCCUGCUGCUUCUCCUUUCCCUGCCUCUCCUGCAAGCCGUGGACUUCGUGUCCCUGUGAAAGGAAAAGCACACAUACACACGCACGCACACACUCACGCACGCACACACCGAAUACCCCAGCAAACCCGCCUCCCCCGCAGCAUUGCUUCUCCCAUCGCACCUCCCCGCUCGGUAGGCUGACUGGUUUGCGCAUGCUGGGAGCACUGGAGCCUCAGCCCCGCACAGCCCGCUUCUCCCAUCCCUUUAACUUUUGGGGUUUGCCUGUUCUCAACUGG
Haliaeetus leucocephalus (bald eagle) is the source of this 747-nucleotide RNA transcript. It is a transcript of the gene named Thy-1 cell surface antigen, with no coding region annotated. The transcript has 4 exons. The record is from RefSeq and is a predicted model, not a curated record. NCBI's taxonomy places the organism in Eukaryota, Metazoa, Chordata, Aves, Accipitriformes, Accipitridae.